RNAcentral lists this ribosomal RNA (494 nucleotides) under uncultured bacterium. RNAcentral's name for it is "bacterial SSU rRNA". It matches the Rfam family "Bacterial small subunit ribosomal RNA", at positions 8 to 521 of the family's 1533-position model. The record is from RNAcentral.
AGAGUUUGAUCCUGGCUCAGAUUGAACGCUGGCGGCGUGCCUAACACAUGCAAGUCGAACGAUGAUAUGAGGGUUGGUUCCUGGAGUCGAGGGGCACGGGUGAGUAUAAUAUAUAUAAUGUACCUCUUAAUUGGGGAAUAACACUGCAAAAGUUGAUUUAUACCCGAUUAUCCUUUGCGGUAUAAAAGAAGGCAUGAAAAUAUCUUCCCUUUUAGAUCUGUCUAAGUCCUAUUUACCUAUUGGGGAGGUUAUGGGUCACCAAAGCUAACAAUCCUAUCUGGGUUGGAAAGAUGAUCCGACACCCUGGGGACUGAGACACGGCCCGACUCCUACGGGAGGCAGCAGUGAGGAAUUUUGCACAAUGGACGAAACUCUGAUGCAACAACGCCGCGUGAAUGAUGACGGAUUUCGGUGUGUAAACUCCUUUUGAAAAGGAAGAUAAUGACCGUACUUCUUGACUGUGUGCAUGAUAGCUCUGUGCCAACCGCCGCGGU